GUCUAUGGCCAUGCCACCCUAAACGUGCCCAAUCUUGUCUGAUCUCAGAAGCUCAGCAGGGUCGAGCCUGGUUAGUAGUUAGAUAGGAGACCACUUAGGAAUAUCAGGUGCUGUAGGCA
RNAcentral lists this ribosomal RNA (119 nucleotides) under Pteropus alecto (black flying fox). The record is from RNAcentral. RNAcentral also lists the same sequence under 1 other name. Lineage: Eukaryota; Metazoa; Chordata; Mammalia; Chiroptera; Pteropodidae.